Haliaeetus leucocephalus (bald eagle) is the source of this 732-nucleotide RNA transcript. It is a transcript of the gene named aspartyl/asparaginyl beta-hydroxylase pseudogene, with no coding region annotated. The transcript has 2 exons. NCBI's taxonomy places the organism in Eukaryota, Metazoa, Chordata, Aves, Accipitriformes, Accipitridae. The record is from RefSeq and is a predicted model, not a curated record.
AUGGGGAAGACAGAUGACAACCCAGAACCUAGUAAAGAGGUGAUGGAUGGGGUGGAAAAUAAAGGCUUCCGGGCAAUUGGAGCAAAAGAGACCUCAGGAACAGUACUGCAGGGUGGCAGGGCUCCCACCCCAGACCCUGGCCCUGGCUCCAAGAGAGAGACUAAGCAUGGAGGAAGCAAGAAUGGAAAGAAAGAAGGCCUCUCUGGAAGCUCGUUUUUCACCUGGUUUAUGGUAAUUGCUUUGCUGGGAGUUUGGACGUCAGUAGCAGUUGGCUGGUUUGAACUUGCAGAUUAUGAAGAAGUUCUAGGCAAGCUUGGGAUAUAUGAUGCUGAUGGACAUGGAGAUUUUGAUGUAGAAGAUGCUAAAGUAUUGCUAGGCCUUAAAGAAAUAUCUGUCCCAGCACAGCCAACAUCACCAGAAUCUGAGAAGACCAUCCAGCCUGCUGAGAAGUCAUAUGUUGAAUCAGAGCACAAGAAUGCUGAUGUAGAAUUGGAAGAGGAAAUUCAGUCUGUUCUUCAGGAAGCUCUCCAUUCCCAGCCUGGAGGGAGACAUGAAGAUGUAGAUGAAAGUGUAAAUGACCAGUGGCAAGUGAAGGAAGAAAUACAUGGAGAAACUUUUGAAGCUCCUACAACAGAUGACUUGCUCAGAGAAUUAGAGAAUGAAAUGCCAGAAGCAUAUGAGACACCAGACUCCGUUCAGAAAGAUGCUGAUCUUUUGGCAGAUGAUUUUUGA